This 467-nucleotide ribosomal RNA is filed under the name alpha proteobacterium Mzj1. Its description in RNAcentral is "bacterial SSU rRNA". It matches the Rfam family "Bacterial small subunit ribosomal RNA", at positions 380 to 864 of the family's 1533-position model. The record is from RNAcentral. Lineage: Bacteria; Pseudomonadati; Pseudomonadota; Alphaproteobacteria.
AGCCUGAUCCAGCAAUGCCGCGUGAGUGAUGAAGGCCUUAGGGUUGUAAAGCUCUUUUACCAGGGAUGAUAAUGACAGUACCUGGAGAAUAAGCUCCGGCUAACUCCGUGCCAGCAGCCGCGGUAAUACGGAGGGAGCUAGCGUUGUUCGGAAUUACUGGGCGUAAAGCGUGCGUAGGCGGCUAUUCAAGUCAGAGGUGAAAGCCUGGAGCUCAACUCCAGAACUGCCUUUGAAACUAGAUAGCUAGAAUCUUGGAGAGGUGAGUGGAAUUCCGAGUGUAGAGGUGAAAUUCGUAGAUAUUCGGAAGAACACCAGUGGCGAAGGCGACUCACUGGACAAGUAUUGACGCUGAGGUACGAAAGCGUGGGGAGCAAACAGGAUUAGAUACCCUGGUAGUCCACGCUGUAAACGAUGAUAACUAGCUGUCCGGGCUCUCAGAGCUUGGGUGGCGCAGCUAACGCAUUAAG